AGAUGGAAGUGGAGAAAUAUGAUCUCUGAUGAUGAUCUCAUCAGAACCCUCGCUGCAGCAUUUUGGAUCAUCUGGAAACUUUUCAGAAUAUUUCUGGGACAGAACAAUAAUCAGGAAUUAUAGUCAUCUAAUUUGAAAGUAACAAAUCCAUGGACUGGUUUUCCUGCAUCGCUCUGAGACAGGAUGCUCCUCACUCUGGGAGGUGGAAGAAGGAGGUUCUAGAAACCUGUUUUAUAUCAGUCAAAGGACAGAUCCUGGACCAGAAUAGCUCCAGGGUUCCUCACUGUAGUACUGAAAGCCGAGGUAAUACCAUCCAGAGUAAUUCUAUAGCUCGACAGUGUUCCUGACGUUUUCAGGUCCAGACACAACAACCUCAGUAUUUGUAGAAUUUUCUUACCAUGACCGCUGCUCGGAUACUUCCAGGUCAUUUUACUCCUUUCAGAGCUUAAUAAGCAAAUAAACUCUUCAACCAUCCCUGAGACACGAGGAAUAAACACACCUGACAUCUCAGACCAGAUAGCCUUCAUAGCUGUUUUACAGGUUAAAGCUCUUGAGUCAGAUUUGAUUCUAGAAGCUCCACAAUGAAACCCAGUAAGUAAAACUCUGUGAAUUUGAUUUCUGGGUGGAUUUUCAGAUUCACUUGCAAAUCCAACAGGAAAUGUUUGUAGUCCAUGCUCCCAUUUCCAUGUGUCUGUCCCUAAAACUCCACUUUCAGGGAGGUGGUGACUGUCCCACGCCAUGUUUAGGGUCCACAGCUGUAAGCCACCAUGGUUUUUAUCCAGUCUCAGCUGUUAGUGAGACCCUCACUGAGAAACAGUAGCAUCUGUGGAAGGAAACUCAUCUUUCCAUCAAAUCCCUUCAUAGCCCUUCUCAUGAAUUCCUCUGAUUGUAGUAGAAAUGUGACUCCCAGGAUGCUCAUUGUAAAGAAGAAUCAUUACUAACCUCACCUGUCAGUGGUUUUCAUGUAGCGGCUGCUUGGUGUACACGUCUGUGUGGGACCAGUAGAAACUAGUUCUUUAAACUCACUGGAUGAUAACUGGCUGCUGAUUUUACCAGUUUUCUUCUCCCAAAGUCUGUUCAUCACACUGAACAUGGAAAGCUCUCACUGAGGUCUGGAUCCAGCUUUUACAGAGAUCUGGAUCCAGCUUUUACAGAGAUCUGGAUCCAGCUUUUACUGAGGUCUGGAUCCAGCUUUUACAGAGAUCUGGAUCCAGCUUUUACUGAGGUCUGGAUCCAGCUUUUACAGAGAUCUGGAUCCAGCUUUUACAGAGGCUUUGCAUGAAUCUGUCUACGGGUGGUCUUUCUUUUCUUUUCAUUCGUUCCUUUCUUUCUUUCUUUCUUUUU
Long non-coding RNA from Melanotaenia boesemani (Boeseman's rainbowfish), 1344 nucleotides. RefSeq lists it as uncharacterized. The transcript is spliced from 3 exons. NCBI's taxonomy places the organism in Eukaryota, Metazoa, Chordata, Actinopteri, Atheriniformes, Melanotaeniidae. The record is from RefSeq and is a predicted model, not a curated record.